Molecule: ribosomal RNA, 449 nt
Filed under: uncultured bacterium
Lineage: Bacteria
Description: partial 16S ribosomal RNA
Rfam family: Bacterial small subunit ribosomal RNA
Source: RNAcentral
AACGAACGCUGGCGGCAUGCCUAACACAUGCAAGUCGAACGAGAUCUUCGGGUCUAGUGGCGCACGGGUGCGUAACGCGUGGGAAUCUGCCCUUUGGUUCGGAAUAACAGUUGGAAACGACUGCUAAUACCGGAUGAUGACGAAAGUCCAAAGACUUAUCGCCAGAGGAUGAGCCCGCGUAGGAUUAGCUAGGUGGUGUGGUAAAGGCGCACCAAGGCGACGAUCCUUAGCUGGUGUGAGAGGAUGAUCAGCCACACUGGGACUGAGACACGGCCCAGACUCCGAGAGAGGGCGAAAGUGGGAAAAAUGGGAAAGUGGCCGAAACCCUGAUCCCGCAUUCCCGCUUGAGUGAUGAAGCCCUUAGGGUUGUAACGCUCUUUUACCGGGGAUGAUAAGGACAGUACCGGGAGAAUAAGCUCCGGCUAACUCCGUGCAAGCCGCCGCCGUAA